AAAGAAUUAGUUAAAUAAUAACUUGAGUUUGUCAAGCUCAAAUUGCCAGUGGCAUUCUUUU
Molecule: transfer RNA, 61 nt
Filed under: Lamellidens marginalis
Lineage: Eukaryota; Metazoa; Mollusca; Bivalvia; Unionida; Unionidae
Description: tRNA-Asp
Source: RNAcentral